Non-coding RNA from Hyaloperonospora arabidopsidis Emoy2, 102 nucleotides. The record is from Rfam. NCBI's taxonomy places the organism in Eukaryota, Oomycota, Peronosporomycetes, Peronosporales, Peronosporaceae.
UGGGAGGAGAUGAAAAGUUACAAAUGCAUAGUUCAACUGAAUGUCUACGACUGCUGUUGAGAUUAUUCCAUUAAAGUCAUUCGCUCCUAUCUGAUCCUCCAC